GGCUCGACUUAUUUCCUUUUCUCCUGACUUUGAAGCCAAAAAGCUGCUAGAUAAUUUGAACAGUAACCCAUAGCAAACUAAUGAAGAGUUGAGGACUUGAAGUAGUUAGCUUUAGUUUAAAAAAUGAUUUGACUGUGCUCUGACCUUAUUAAAGUUUUAAGUAAAAUGUAAGCGUCACUUGUAUUCGUCACAAAGUUAUUCAAGGUUUUAAAACUG
This 216-nucleotide unclassified non-coding RNA is filed under the name Hevea brasiliensis (rubber tree). The record is from RNAcentral. Lineage: Eukaryota; Viridiplantae; Streptophyta; Magnoliopsida; Malpighiales; Euphorbiaceae.